This 240-nucleotide long non-coding RNA is filed under the name Elaeis guineensis (African oil palm). Its description in RNAcentral is "long non-coding RNA (EGUI_LNC023675)". The record is from RNAcentral. Lineage: Eukaryota; Viridiplantae; Streptophyta; Magnoliopsida; Arecales; Arecaceae.
GAUUCGAGUCGUCUUACUCUAAAUUUUGAGCCCUACAGCAAUAAUAUCUAAUAUUAUGUAAUAUAAAGUUUGAUCCAAUCUAUCUCAAUUGGCUCUUUUUCAAGAAAAAAGAUCUGGUGGGAUCUUUUUUUUUCUCUAUGGAAUUUAGACAGGGCUACUCUAAUGAAUACUUUGAAAUAAGUUGUAUUCUUGUAAAUCAUAUAGAAUUGUAUAGAAUUAUCACAAAACAGACUUAACAUU